AGUGAAUGCUGGCGGUAGGCCUAACACAUGCAAGUCGAACGGCAGCACAGUAAGAGCUUGCUCUUACGGGUGGCGAGUGGCGGACGGGUGAGGAAUACAUCGGAAUCUACUUUUUCGUGGGGGAUAACGUAGGGAAACUUACGCUAAUACCGCAUACGACCUACGGGUGAAAGCAGGGGAUCUUCGGACCUUGCGCGAUUGAAUGAGCCGAUGUCGGAUUAGCUAGUUGGCGGGGUAAAGGCCCACCAAGGCGACGACCCGUAGCUGGUCUGAGAGGAUGAUCAGCCACACUGGAACUGAGACACGGUCCAGACUACUACGGGAGGCAGCAGUGGGGAAUAUUGGACAAAGGGCGCAAGCCUGAUCCAGCCAUACCGCGUGGGUGAAGAAGGCCUUCGGGUUGUAAAGCCCUUUUGUUGGGAAAGAAAAGCAGCAGGUUAAUACCCCGCUGUUCUGACGGUACCCAAAGAAUAAGCACCGGCUAACUUCGUG
This 492-nucleotide ribosomal RNA is filed under the name uncultured bacterium. RNAcentral's name for it is "partial 16S ribosomal RNA". It matches the Rfam family "Bacterial small subunit ribosomal RNA", at positions 29 to 507 of the family's 1533-position model. The record is from RNAcentral.